RNAcentral lists this ribosomal RNA (783 nucleotides) under uncultured Bacteroidota bacterium. RNAcentral describes it as "bacterial SSU rRNA". It matches the Rfam family "Bacterial small subunit ribosomal RNA", at positions 34 to 810 of the family's 1533-position model. The record is from RNAcentral. Lineage: Bacteria; Pseudomonadati; Bacteroidota.
CGCUAGCGGCAGGCUUAACACAUGCAAGUCGAGGGGUAACAGGGAGUGCUUGCACUCUGCUGACGACCGGCGCACGGGUGCGUAACGCGUAUGCAACCUACCUUCUACAGGGGGAUAGUCCAGAGAAAUUUGGCAUAAUACCCCAUACGAUCAUUUAUUGGCAUCGAUAGAUGAGGAAAACUCCGGUGGUAGAAGAUGGGCAUGCGUCCUAUUAGUUAGUUGGUAAGGUAACGGCUUACCAAGACAUCGAUAGGUAGGGGUCCUGAGAGGGAGAUCCCCCACACUGGUACUGAGACACGGACCAGACUCCUACGGGAGGCAGCAGUGAGGAAUAUUGGACAAUGGAGGCAACUCUGAUCCAGCCAUGCCGCGUGCAGGAAGACGGCCCUAUGGGUUGUAAACUGCUUUUAUACAGGAAGAAACGCCGCUACGUGUAGCGGUUUGACGGUACUGUACGAAUAAGGAUCGGCUAACUCCGUGCCAGCAGCCGCGGUAAUACGGAGGAUCCAAGCGUUAUCCGGAAUCAUUGGGUUUAAAGGGUCCGUAGGCGGUUUUUUAAGUCAGAGGUGAAAUCCUGCAGCUCAACUGUAGCAUUGCCUUUGAUACUGAAAGACUUGAGUUAUUGUGAAGUAGUUAGAAUGUGUAGUGUAGCGGUGAAAUGCAUAGAUAUUACACAGAAUACCGAUUGCGAAAGCAGAUUACUAACAAUAUACUGACGCUGAGGGACGAAAGCGUGGGUAGCGAACAGGAUUAGAUACCCUGGUAGUCCACGCCGUAAACGAU